CUUUACUAUAACUUUACAUUGAUGUUGGGAAUUGAAUGUGUAGAAUAGGUGGUAGACUUUGAAGCCAUGGCGCUAGUUAUGGCAGAGUCGAAAUGUGAAAUACCACUCUUUUAAUUUCUAAUGUCUAACCAAGUUUCAUAAAGUGGAACUGAGACAGUGUAUGGUGGUUAGUUUGACUGGGGCGGUCGCCUCCUAAAGAGUAACGGAGGCGUUCGAAGGUAGGCUCAGCUGGGUUAGAAAUCCAGCUUUUGAGUGCAAUGGCAUAAGCCUGCUUGACUGUAAGACUGACAAGUCGAACAGAGACGAAAGUCGGACAUAGUGAUCUGGUGGUUUCUGCGAGGAAAGGCCAUCACUCAACGGAUAAAAGGUA
Molecule: ribosomal RNA, 370 nt
Filed under: uncultured organism
Description: bacterial LSU rRNA
Rfam family: Bacterial large subunit ribosomal RNA
Source: RNAcentral